This 292-nucleotide ribosomal RNA is filed under the name uncultured Planctomycetota bacterium. Its description in RNAcentral is "uncultured planctomycete partial 16S ribosomal RNA". The record is from RNAcentral. Lineage: Bacteria; Pseudomonadati; Planctomycetota.
GGACUACAGGGGUAUCUAAUCCCGUUUGCUACCCUAGCUUUCGUGCAUCAGCGUCAGAAGAGACCCAGUAAGCCGCUUUCGCCACCGGUGUUCCUGAGGAUAUCAACGCAUUUCACCGCUCCACCCUCAGUUCCGCUUACCUCUGUCUCCCUCGAGCACGGUAGUUUUGAACGCAGUUCCUCAGUUAAGCUGAGGUAUUUCACGCCCAACUUUCCGCACAGCCUACGCACCCUUUAAGCCCAGUAAUUCCGAAUAACGUUCGUACGGUUCGUCUUACCGCGGCUGCUGGCAC